Molecule: ribosomal RNA, 253 nt
Filed under: uncultured bacterium
Lineage: Bacteria
Description: partial 16S ribosomal RNA
Rfam family: Bacterial small subunit ribosomal RNA
Source: RNAcentral
UACGAAGGGGGCUAGCGUUGUUCGGAAUCACUGGGCGUAAAGCGCACGUAGGCGGCGCGUUAAGUCAGGGGUGAAAUCCUGGAGCUAAACUCCAGAACUGCCUUUGAUACUGGCGCGCUCGAGUGGGGGAGAGGUUGGUGGAACUCCGAGUGUAGAGGUGAAAUUCGUAGAUAUUCGGAAGAACACCAGUGGCGAAGGCGGCCAUCUGGCCCAUUACUGACGCUGAGGUGCGAAAGCGUGGGGAGCAAACAGG